RNAcentral lists this ribosomal RNA (440 nucleotides) under uncultured bacterium. Its description in RNAcentral is "partial 16S ribosomal RNA". It matches the Rfam family "Bacterial small subunit ribosomal RNA", at positions 338 to 795 of the family's 1533-position model. The record is from RNAcentral.
CCUACGGGUGGCAGCAGUGGGGGAUAUUGCACAAUGGGGGAAACCCUGAUGCAGCGACGCCGCGUGGGUGAAGAAGCGCCUCGGCGCGUAAAGCCCUGUCAGCAGGGAAGAAAAUGACGGUACCUGAAGAAGAAGCCCCGGCUAACUACGUGCCAGCAGCCGCGGUAAUACGUAGGGGGCAAGCGUUAUCCGGAUUUACUGGGUGUAAAGGGAGCGUAGACGGCGAUGCAAGUCUGGAGUGAAAGCCCGGGGCCCAACCCCGGGACUGCUUUUGAAACUGCGUGGCUGGAGUGCAGGAGGGGGAAGCGGAAUGCCUGGUGUAGCGGUGUAAUGCGUAGAUAUCAGGAGGAACACCGGUGGCGAAGGCGGCCUACUGGACUGCAACUGACGUUGAGGCCCGAAAGCGUGGGGAGCAAACAGGAUUAGAUACCCUGGUAGUC